Molecule: ribosomal RNA, 253 nt
Filed under: uncultured bacterium
Lineage: Bacteria
Description: partial 16S ribosomal RNA
Rfam family: Bacterial small subunit ribosomal RNA
Source: RNAcentral
CACGUAGGGCGCAAGCGUUGUCCGGAAUUAUUGGGCGUAAAGAGCUCGUAGGUGGUUUGUUACGUCUGCUGUGAAAAUCUAGGGCUUAACCCUGGGCUUGCAGUGGAUACGGGCAGACUAGAGGUAGGUAGGGGAGAAUGGAAUUCCUGGUGUAGCGGUGAAAUGCGCAGAUAUCAGGAGGAACACCGGUGGCGAAGGCGGUUCUCUGGGCCUUACCUGACACUGAGGAGCGAAAGCGUGGGGAGCAAACAGG